UCGUGCGUGCCGCGGAACCCGUAUGUGGCUUCGGCCCGAGGCACGGCCGCCAUUUUGUCUCCCCAUGUUUGGAGUUGAUGGUCCGAGCCCAGCGACCUAACUGCUUCCCUGUGGCCACGGGCCUCGCGCGGCGAGCCCGCGGCAGCGUCGCACCCGGCCUGCCGCACCGGGGAGAAGCCCCCGCAGACCCCAGGCGGCGGGUACACUCCUAACUUCAAAGCCCGGCGUCAGGCCCAGGGCCUGAGGCAAAAGCCACGGCAGCUGGCCGAGGGGGUUGGCAGCUUCCACCGCCGCAGAUAGUGCUGAACGGGGCCGGCCGGCUGCCUUGGGGGAUACUUUUCGUACUAGUUCCUCCGGGUAAGGCGGCCGGGCACCGAUGCCGUUUUCUACAGAACCUGGGACACGUUAAACGUGGCAGGGCAACAACGUUACAAACACCCUCAGAUUCUUCACCCCUCUGCAGAGUGCCUCCUGGUACCUUUUUAAAGUCCGCGUUUGCAACCUGAGGAGGAGUCCCGCUCUCCCAGCACAGCUGAAAGCCGCUGAGCCUCUCAGACCGCCACCUGCUAGUCGACCUUGGGCUCGCCCUUGGCCGCGCCCCUACCUCGGUUGGGGGGGGGGGGCGUCUCGCACCCUCACGAGGUCCCGUAAUCAACUGCCGCCCCUUUGACUUUGGGGCUUUGUAUUUGAUUUUACCAAAUACCCGUCUCAGGAGCUGGACCAGGAAAGCCCCGCGGUUUCGGGUGGGAGCGGUGGCCCCGGGCGCUGUUCUAAACCCGCUGCCUGGAACCCGGCACCUAUGGGCAAUGCUCCCGUGAGCGGAAGCACCUCUGAGCAGCCUAGGGAACAGUCUUUCUGGGCCCGAGCUGGUGUUUCUGAAGUUGAGGGUGUAGGGUGGUGGUAUCUUAAAACCCACCGCUUCCCCUGAGACUCGUUCCUACCACAAUUAUCCUUCCCUGUAUUUACCUGCUGUUUGGGGCCAAGUUCUGCAUUUGACGCUCAUGACAACCCCAUGGGUGAGGGUUCUUCUCCUUUUCCUGUGGGAAGAACGGUGAAUUCCCUGACAUCCACAGUACAGAUUUCAAAAUCAGGAAGAUAAGAUUGACACGCUACGGACUUUUCCUCCCUUGAAGAUUCCUCUUCCUUGAAGGUUUGGUCUAUUUUCUUUUUUUCGAGUACUCGAAGCGAUAACUUGAUUCCAAAAGGCAGUACCAAAAGGUGGACGGGCCUGGCCUGUGCCUUCAGCCUCCUGUUUCGUGGCCUUGUCGCAGCGCCGUGGAUGCACCCUUUCCUCUGGAGCUGAGGCCGCUGGGCCAGCGGAGCCUGAGAGGCAGAAACAAUGUUCGUGGCAGCUGGGACAGGGGACCGGGAGAAGUAAGACACUAGAAAGGAACCUGGUGAGGAAAAGCCACAGGGACCGUCCUGGUCUACAGCGUUUGGGAGCAUUGCCUCCUUGGCCGCACACCACACAGCAGCCUUCGUACAGCACGUCCUGGCCCGGAUUCAAGGAAACUUUGUCUUAAACCAGCUAUGACUCACGGCAGUCUGUGAAGUCUACCUUUGUAAACAAAGAUAAAGCAACUACGUUUUCUCCCUACCUCAUCCCUCCAGACUUUGGAAACUCCCAGUAAGUAUGCUUAUAUUUUCAUAGCAACGCAUUUGUGGAAGUCCAAUAAGAAUCUGUUCUCCUUGCAACAGGACACUAUUGGAAACACUGGUCAUAUUACCAAGGCUUUGGCUAGAAUAUCAUAUCUGAGAACGACGCGCAUAGACUGAGAUAUGACCAGACAGCGCUGAGGAACAAAGAGUGACUGUGUGGAACCAACCCUUGGAAAAAUCAGCCUGAUAACCUUGCUGGGGUUCCCAACAGCCUUAUCAUGUGAGUCAGGAAGAUUGCCUCCUGACAGGCCCAGGAACCUCACGAAGAGGGACUGCCCCCCAAAUUUAUGGGUAUUCUAGGUAAGAUCGGACAGGGAGGUGUCGGCUUGGCUUCUUAGCCUGGAGAGGCCUUUCAGAGUUCCAUCUGAGAUUCCUUAUGAAAAGUUCCAGGAAAGCAGACUUGAAAGAGCCUGGAUGGUCAGUCCCUAUUCUUGCUGCACUCACGCAAACAAGAGAGCCGAGUUUAUUGCAACUAGACUGAAUUUGCAAACAAAAUAGUCUUGCUACGGUUGUCCUUGCCACAGAUCGGGGCGAUUACAGAGAGAACAGAUCUGCUUCAGUAACACACCUUCACAGGUAUAUUCUAGCACCGCGGAUUAUCUUUGGUGUUUGUCUUCACCUAGGCUAGAUCCUGAAUUCUAGUUUCUUCCAGUAGCCGGCCACAACUCCAAACUUCCAGCAUUUCUCCCGCCCUCUGACCUGGGAUCCUUGAGACCUAAAACCGCCCAUCCCACAACCGGGCAGGCCCAAGUGGGGCGACUCGAUCCAAACUUCGGAGGGACCACCACAGCAGCUCGCGGGGGGACAGUCUUCGUGCCUGUUGCCGGUGGGCCCCUCAGGACGGUCACCAGAGACGUUCACGCCACAGACCAGGCACGUCUGCCAGGUUGCCGCUGCCCGCCCUCCCCUCACCCGAGGACAUUUUGAGCCCUAGAUGUGCACUAGUUAUCCCCUCCACGUGGCGGCACUCAGGAACGGAACGGAACAGGAACGGAGCUCAGGAACGGCAUUGUCGGCCCCAGUCUUUAACCUCUGUUGCGUCAUGUGACGCCGUCACAAGACGUAGGGACGAGGACCGGUUGGAUGAGAUAUGGAGCAACCUGCCGGCUCCGGACAGGUUCAAACCCACUGACGCCAGGUACAGGCCACUUGCAGGCCACCAGCUUGAGCGAGGGAAGCCUGAGUGAGGAAGGAGGGCCCACAGUGACCCCCUGACUGAAGACAGACCGGCGCAUUAGGCGAUCCACCUCGAAAUAUCCGUAAGCCCUAGCUGACCAGUGGAUUACUUACACCCAGAUCCGGGUGCCAAAAAAGGAAAAGUCCGCACGUUCCUGUCCCUCCUCACCUUCCCCCUUUCCUGCAGCACCCCCCCCAACUCCUGGCUGAUGGCAGCGUCUCUGCAGCCUUCCCCACUGCUCCCCUGCAGUGCAUGCAGGAAACUUCUAUGUCCUUUUUUCCACCUCAGGUGAAUUCUUUGACGGCCUCUUCUGCAGGCCCCCACUGGAUCGGGUUGCCCCCGACACUAGAUGGCCCAAGAUGUUAAAAUAUUUCGUGGCGUUACCCAAAUCCUUGAACAGAUUCCCUGAGCUGGCCCCUGAGAUGACCGACCUAUUUUCCUAGCUGGACCCUUCAAGUCUGGGACGACGGCUACAAACUAGAUUCCAGACUCUCCUCCCACCUCAAUAUUUAUAGGAUUUGUUACCGUAAUCCUGUUGAGAAGUGUACUUUCUGGAUGACAGUGUGCCCUGUCCCUGCUUGUGGCAUAUUAGCUCCCCAGGUAGUUCACAUCCUCUGACAGAGGCAUCACAGGGUGGGUGCGGCGUAAGCCCCCUCCCCCACCCCCGGCGGUUUCCAUUCUCUUUUUUCUGACGCAGGUGCCCAUUUUGAACUUUGAUCGUCAAGGCGUCCGUUUCAAAGAAGGCUAUCUCACAUGAACACAUUGCCAGCCACCCUAGGAAAAGGGCCAGGCCACCUCCCCACUCUGCUGUUUUAGAGAGUUCGGUGGACUUCUAUAGCUGACCAUUUGGGCCACUUUUUUUUUCUCUCUCUCUUCUGAAGCUUUAGAUUCCUGUUCUUAUGUUUUAAAUUCAGCAAUAAAGAAUGAGCCUGCAAAACCCUGGGCCCGCAUCCCUGAUCCCAAUAAAAGCAGAACCCCAGGCCUGUC
Long non-coding RNA from Panthera uncia (snow leopard), 3823 nucleotides. RefSeq lists it as uncharacterized. Lineage: Eukaryota; Metazoa; Chordata; Mammalia; Carnivora; Felidae. The transcript has 6 exons. The record is from RefSeq and is a predicted model, not a curated record.